CCUACGGGUGGCAGCAGUGAGGAAUAUUGGUCAAUGGCCGAGAGGCUGAACCAGCCACGUCGCGUGAGGGAAGAAUGUCCUCUGGAUUGUAAACCUCUUUUGUCAGGGAGCAAAGUCACCCACGUGUGGGUGUUGGAGAGUACCUGAAGAAAAAGCAUCGGCUAAGCCCGUGCCAGCAGCCGCGGUAAUACGGAGGAUGCGAGCGUUAUCCGGAUUUAUUGGGUUUAAAGGGUGCGUAGGCUGGUUGUGAAGUCAGCGGUAAAAUCGUGGAGCUCAACUCCAUCCAGCCGUUGAGACUGAUGAUCUUGAGUGAGAGAGAAGUAUGCGGAAUGCGUGGUGUAGCGGUGAAAUGCAUAGAUAUCAGGAAGAACUCCGAUUGCGAAGGCAGCAUACCGGCGCCCGACUGACGCUGAAGCACGAAAGCGUGGGUAGCGAACAGGAUUAGAUACCCUAGUAGUC
RNAcentral lists this ribosomal RNA (459 nucleotides) under uncultured bacterium. Its description in RNAcentral is "partial 16S ribosomal RNA". It matches the Rfam family "Bacterial small subunit ribosomal RNA", at positions 338 to 795 of the family's 1533-position model. The record is from RNAcentral.